GGCGAACGGGUGAGUAACACGUGGGUGAUCUGCCUUGCACUUCGGGAUAAGCCUGGGAAACUGGGUCUAAUACCGGAUAGGACCAUGCUUUAGUGUGUGUGGUGGAAAGAUUUUUCGGUUCUGGAUCGGCUCGCGGCCUAUCAGCUUGUUGGUGGGGUAAUGGCCUACCAAGGCGUCGACGGGUAGCCGGCCUGAGAGGGUGGACGGCCACAUUGGGACUGAGAUACGGCCCAG
Molecule: ribosomal RNA, 234 nt
Filed under: uncultured Actinomycetales bacterium
Lineage: Bacteria; Bacillati; Actinomycetota; Actinomycetes; Actinomycetales
Description: partial 16S ribosomal RNA
Rfam family: Bacterial small subunit ribosomal RNA
Source: RNAcentral